RNAcentral lists this ribosomal RNA (1933 nucleotides) under Salmonella enterica subsp. diarizonae serovar 53:z10:-. RNAcentral describes it as "partial 23S ribosomal RNA". It matches the Rfam family "Bacterial large subunit ribosomal RNA", at positions 1027 to 2925 of the family's 2925-position model. Lineage: Bacteria; Pseudomonadati; Pseudomonadota; Gammaproteobacteria; Enterobacterales; Enterobacteriaceae. The record is from RNAcentral.
CCAGACCGCCAGCUAAGGUCCCAAAGUCAUGGUUAAGUGGGAAACGAUGUGGGAAGGCCCAGACAGCCAGGAUGUUGGCUUAGAAGCAGCCAUCAUUUAAAGAAAGCGUAAUAGCUCACUGGUCGAGUCGGCCUGCGCGGAAGAUGUAACGGGGCUAAACCAUGCACCGAAGCUGCGGCAGCGACACUUUAGUGUUGUUGGGUAGGGGAGCGUUCUGUAAGCCGUUGAAGGUGUCCUGUGAGGGGUGCUGGAGGUAUCAGAAGUGCGAAUGCUGACAUAAGUAACGAUAAAGCGGGUGAAAAGCCCGCUCGCCGGAAGACCAAGGGUUCCUGUCCAACGUUAAUCGGGGCAGGGUGAGUCGACCCCUAAGGCGAGGCCGAAAGGCGUAGUCGAUGGGAAACGGGUUAAUAUUCCCGUACUUGGUGUUACUGCGAAGGGGGGACGGAGAAGGCUAUGUUGGCCGGGCGACGGUUGUCCCGGUUUAAGCGUGUAGGUGUGUGUUCCAGGCAAAUCCGGUUCACUUUAACACUGAGGCGUGAUGACGAGGCACCACGGUGCUGAAGCAACAAAUGCCCUGCUUCCAGGAAAAGCCUCUAAGCAUCAGGUAACAUCAAAUCGUACCCCAAACCGACACAGGUGGUCAGGUAGAGAAUACCAAGGCGCUUGAGAGAACUCGGGUGAAGGAACUAGGCAAAAUGGUGCCGUAACUUCGGGAGAAGGCACGCUGACACGUAGGUGAAGUGAUUUACUCACGGAGCUGAAGUCAGUCGAAGAUACCAGCUGGCUGCAACUGUUUAUUAAAAACACAGCACUGUGCAAACACGAAAGUGGACGUAUACGGUGUGACGCCUGCCCGGUGCCGGAAGGUUAAUUGAUGGGGUCAGCGCAAGCGAAGCUCCUGAUCGAAGCCCCGGUAAACGGCGGCCGUAACUAUAACGGUCCUAAGGUAGCGAAAUUCCUUGUCGGGUAAGUUCCGACCUGCACGAAUGGCGUAAUGAUGGCCAGGCUGUCUCCACCCGAGACUCAGUGAAAUUGAACUCGCUGUGAAGAUGCAGUGUACCCGCGGCAAGACGGAAAGACCCCGUGAACCUUUACUAUAGCUUGACACUGAACAUUGAGCCUUGAUGUGUAGGAUAGGUGGGAGGCUUUGAAGCGUGGACGCCAGUCUGCGUGGAGCCGACCUUGAAAUACCACCCUUUAAUGUUUGAUGUUCUAACGUGGACCCGUAAUCCGGGUUGCGGACAGUGUCUGGUGGGUAGUUUGACUGGGGCGGUCUCCUCCUAAAGAGUAACGGAGGAGCACGAAGGUUGGCUAAUCCUGGUCGGACAUCAGGAGGUUAGUGCAAUGGCAUAAGCCAGCUUGACUGCGAGCGUGACGGCGCGAGCAGGUGCGAAAGCAGGUCAUAGUGAUCCGGUGGUUCUGAAUGGAAGGGCCAUCGCUCAACGGAUAAAAGGUACUCCGGGGAUAACAGGCUGAUACCGCCCAAGAGUUCAUAUCGACGGCGGUGUUUGGCACCUCGAUGUCGGCUCAUCACAUCCUGGGGCUGAAGUAGGUCCCAAGGGUAUGGCUGUUCGCCAUUUAAAGUGGUACGCGAGCUGGGUUUAGAACGUCGUGAGACAGUUCGGUCCCUAUCUGCCGUGGGCGCUGGAAGAUUGAGGGGGGCUGCUCCUAGUACGAGAGGACCGGAGUGGACGCAUCACUGGUGUUCGGGUUGUCAUGCCAAUGGCACUGCCCGGUAGCUAAAUGCGGAAAAGAUAAGUGCUGAAAGCAUCUAAGCACGAAACUUGCCCCGAGAUGAGUCUUCCCUGAGACUUUGAGUCUCCUGAAGGAACGUUAAAGACGAUGACGUUGAUAGGCCGGGUGUGUAAGCGCAGCGAUGCGUUGAGCUAACCGGUACUAAUGAACCGUGAGGCUUAACCUUACAACGCCGAAG